GACGAACGCUGGCGGCGUGCUUAACACAUGCAAGUCGAACGGAAAGGCCCCUUUGGGGGUACUCGAGUGGCGAACGGGUGAGUAACACGUGAGUAACCUGCCCUUGACUUCGGGAUAACUUCAGGAAACUGGGGCUAAUACCGGAUAGGAAUCCUUGCUGCAUGGUGGGGGUUGGAAAGCUUCGGCGGUUUUGGAUGGACUCGCGGCUUAUCAGCUUGUUGGUGGGGUAGUGGCUUACCAAGGCUUUGACGGGUAGCCGGCCUGAGAGGGCGACCGGCCACAUUGGGACUGAGAUACGGCCCAGACUCCUACGGGAGGCAGCAGUGGGGAAUAUUGCACAAUGGGCGGAAGUCUGAUGCAGCAACGCCGCGUGCGGGAUGACGGCCUUCGGGUUGGAAACCGCUUUCAGCAGGGGCGAAGCUUGUGGUGACGGUACCUGCAGAAGAAGCACCGGCUAACUACGUG
Molecule: ribosomal RNA, 465 nt
Filed under: uncultured bacterium
Lineage: Bacteria
Description: partial 16S ribosomal RNA
Rfam family: Bacterial small subunit ribosomal RNA
Source: RNAcentral